Molecule: transfer RNA, 95 nt
Filed under: Streptomyces sp. YIM 130001
Lineage: Bacteria; Bacillati; Actinomycetota; Actinomycetes; Kitasatosporales; Streptomycetaceae
Description: tRNA-Gly
Source: RNAcentral
GUUCGCGGUGGCGCGUGGCGCGCGCGUGAUCGGCACCGCCGGUCCGGCGAACCACGACUACCUGAGCUCACUGGGCUCCGAACCCGUCGCGUACG